AAGAUGUAGUGUUAUUAAAAAUCUUGAUAAUAAACUUCAAAAAGAAUAUAUAUAAAAAUAUAAUAAAUGAAUCAGCUAUUACAAAAUCUUAAUUCUUUUUCCUCUUAUCUAUACUACAACUUUCGGUUCAACUCUAAACCAAUGUGGAGCACUUUGAAGUAGACGGAUCAUAUAAAGCAGGAAGGAGAUACUUUCUUCCAUUUGUACCAUGCGCAUUAUAACUUGCACCCGUAGUCGAGUCCACCAACAAGUCCCCAGCGUAUCCAGGAUACGCCCCUUUCGCAUACACUCCAGGACACGCAGAUGCAGCCUCUAACGGUGCAUCCGCAUCACCCUGGUUGGAGGAGUCUUGGACUAACUCAGUGAGUCGUCUCGCUCCGAGUGAGAGGUGGAAGAUGGAGAAUAUGAAGAGGAGGUGAAGUAGACGAUGAGUGAAGGCCAUUUUUUGUGACGGUUUUGGAGAAAUUGUUAGAAGGUUGAUAAUGAAAUGAGUUGAAAUGUGUUGU
Molecule: long non-coding RNA, 506 nt
Filed under: Helianthus annuus (common sunflower)
Lineage: Eukaryota; Viridiplantae; Streptophyta; Magnoliopsida; Asterales; Asteraceae
Description: hypothetical non coding rna
Source: RNAcentral